CUGAUGGUAUUACCAAUGUAUAUGGGCUGAGGACUCUAAAAGUGAAGUAGCAGGAUUUUCUUUGGUUUUAAAUGUCUUGUCCAUGAACUCAGAACCUGCGAAGUCUGAGGUUGUAAAAUUGGAAACAGUAAACACUGUAAAGAAGGCAGACGCUAUUUUAGAAGUUCUAAUUUAUAAAGUUCUGCUGUCCACCUGUAGAUAUCCUUGAUGAUGUCAUUGGUGAAAAGGGUCCAAUUAGUCCUAAAACUCACAGGACACUUGAUCCAAAAACCACCAGAAUAAUUCCCACAGCUCUAUGCAGUCCACCAUUAAGGUUGUGAAUACCUUGGCAUUAAUUGUCAGUCGUCAACUCAAGUCAGCUAUUAGUGAAAAACAACCUCUCACAACAUCAAUUUUUACUGACCCUAUUAUUAACCAAAGACAUUUAAUAUAAAGCUGAUAGAAAUAUUUCUAUUGAUCAUAAGAAAUCAAGUCAAUCCCAGUUGAUAAGGAGGCUUAUGGAAUUAGGUGUCAUAAGGUACACCACUACAAUUUCAGUCAUUGGUUCUGAUCUUCUCCUUCCUUCCAUCCUUUGGCACCUAGCUCCAUACUCUGGUUUCUCAUUCUUGCAGUUUAUGAAUAAUGGAAAUCUUGUUCUACUCAUCUCUGAGGACUUAUCCAGAUAAUAACAUCUGUUGGUUAUUGUCAGAUGUUUCUAUUGUUCUGCUGCUCCCUGAUUUUGAGGCUUGCCGUGGUGAUGCCUUCUCCCAAUGAGAAGAAUUUUUUCUGAACUAGGUGCUGCCACC
This 785-nucleotide long non-coding RNA is filed under the name Homo sapiens (human). Its description in RNAcentral is "HSALNT0052344". The record is from RNAcentral. Lineage: Eukaryota; Metazoa; Chordata; Mammalia; Primates; Hominidae.